UGCAUAUCAAAAAGCGGAGGAAAAGAAACCAACAGGGAUUGCCUCAGUAACGGCGAGUGAAGCGGCAAAAGCUCAAAUUUGAAAUCCCCCCGGGGAGUUGUAAUUUGAAGAUUGCGUCUUGGAGGCGACCGUGUCUAUGUUCCUUGGAACAGGACGUCACAGAGGGUGAGAAUCCCGUGCGGCACGGCCCCCGGCUCCUUAUAAGGCGCUCUCGACGAGUCGAGUUGUUUGGGAAUGCAGCUCAAAGUGGGUGGUAAAUUCCAUCUAAAGCUAAAUACAGGCGAGAGACCGAUAGCGAACAAGUACAGUGAUGGAAAGAUGAAAAGCACUUUGAAAAGAGAGUGAAACAGCACGUGAAAUUGUUGAAAGGGAAGGGCAUGCCGUCAGAUUGUCAGUGUGGGUAAGAAGCGGGGUACAAAGACUGUGGAACGUGGCCCUCGGGUGUUAUAGCCGCAGUUCAUGCCCCGUCUC
This 471-nucleotide ribosomal RNA is filed under the name Kodamaea ohmeri. Its description in RNAcentral is "eukaryotic LSU rRNA". It matches the Rfam family "Eukaryotic large subunit ribosomal RNA", at positions 37 to 506 of the family's 3401-position model. The record is from RNAcentral. Lineage: Eukaryota; Fungi; Ascomycota; Pichiomycetes; Serinales; Debaryomycetaceae.